This is a long non-coding RNA of Mustela erminea (ermine), 434 nucleotides long. RefSeq lists it as uncharacterized. Lineage: Eukaryota; Metazoa; Chordata; Mammalia; Carnivora; Mustelidae. The record is from RefSeq and is a predicted model, not a curated record. The transcript is spliced from 3 exons.
AACUUCCAGAAGGAACACUAGCCUUCCAAUACAUUGAUAUGGGACCAAGAAAAUCAAUUUGAGACUUCUGACCUCCACAACUAUAAGGGAUUCCAGUUAUGGGCUACAGGGAUUUUAUGAACUACUCAAAAUUAUAGUCCAUCUGUUGAAGGCGGCAACAUCACAGGAUGGAAUUCUUUGGCAUCCUUGCGUAACUUUCUCAUAGGAAGCCAUGCAAAAGAGAGGUACCCUAUUAUGAAGAACUGUACUGAUUGUCAUAUGAAAAAUAAACAAUUUUCACGUUGAUUUAAACCACAAAACAAAAGAGAGCAUUUAACCUGUUGGUUUCAUGAAGAUUUGGGGUUUAUCAGAAAGUAGUACUAGAAAAAGACAAGAAAAAUAUGGGCAUAUACAAUAAAGUAAUUAUCAGGAUUGAUAUUGAAAUUUAGGUCAGA